This 478-nucleotide ribosomal RNA is filed under the name uncultured bacterium. Its description in RNAcentral is "partial 16S ribosomal RNA". It matches the Rfam family "Bacterial small subunit ribosomal RNA", at positions 28 to 523 of the family's 1533-position model. The record is from RNAcentral.
GACGAACGCUGGCGGCGUGCUUAACACAUGCAAGUCGAACGGUAAGGCCCUUCGGGGUACACGAGUGGCGAACGGGUGAGUAACACGUGGGUGAUCUGCCCUGCACUUCGGGAUAAGCCUGGGAAACUGGGUCUAAUACCGGAUAGGACCACUGCCUGCAUGGGUGGUGGUGGAAGGCUUUUGCGGUGUGGGAUGGGCCCGCGGCCUAUCAGCUUGUUGGUGGGGUGAUGGCCUACCAAGGCGACGACGGGUAGCCGGCCUGAGAGGGUGACCGGCCACACUGGGACUGAGAUACGGCCCAGACUCCUACGGGAGGCAGCAGUGGGGAAUAUUGCACAAUGGGCGCAAGCCCGAUGCAGCGACGCCGCGUGAGGGAUGACGGCCUUCGGGUUGUAAACCUCUUUCAGCACCGACGAAGCGCAAGUGACGGUAGGUGCAGAAGAAGGACCGGCCAACUACGUGCCAGCAGCCGCCGCCG